Molecule: small RNA, 593 nt
Filed under: Pongo abelii (Sumatran orangutan)
Lineage: Eukaryota; Metazoa; Chordata; Mammalia; Primates; Hominidae
Description: retained intron
Source: RNAcentral
AACGGCAUAGUUUUAUUUUAAGAAAAAAUUGACUUUUCUUAUACUUUAUGUAAACAACUGAAAUGUAUCUGCUAUAAUUUUUCUUUUCAGAUGUGUGUUAAAAGAGCUAGAAACGUUGGGAAAGGACUUAUAUGGGGCAAAACUGAUUGCACAAAAAUGCCAAGUUCGAAAUUGUCCUCAUUUCAAGAAUGCAGUGAGCGGAUCAGAAUGUCUGCUUUCCAUGGUUGAAGAGGGAAAUCCUCAUCAUUAUUUUGUGGCAACACAGGAUCAGAAUUUGUCUAUGAAAGUGAAAAAGAAGCCUGGAGUUCCUCUCAUGUUUAUUAUUCAGAACACUAUGGUUUUGGACAAACCUUCUCCCAAAACAAUUGCCUUUGUAAAAGCAGUGGAGUCAGGUCAGCUUGUCUCAGUGCAUGAGAAAGAAAGUAUCAAACACCUCAAAGAGGAACAGGGUUUAGUGAAAAACCCUGAACAGAGAAGAAGAAAAAAGCGCAAGAAGAUAAGUGGUCCCAAUCCUCUUAGCUGUUUGAAGAAAAAGAAAAAGGCACCGGACACACAAUCAUCUGCUUCUGAAAAGAAAAGAAAAAGAAAAAGAA